GUGGGGAAUAUUGCGCAAUGGGGGAAACCCUGACGCAGCGACGCCGUGUGAGGGAAGAAGGCUUUCGGGUCGUAAACCUCUGUCAGAAAGGAAGAACCUCCCAAGUCCGAAUAGGGCUUGGGACUGACGGUACUUUCAAAGGAAGCACCGGCUAACUCCGUGCCAGCAGCCGCGGUAAUACGGAGGGUGCACGCGUUAAUCGGAAUCACUGGGCGUAAAGCGCGCGUAGGCCGCUUUGUAAGUCGGACGUGAAAGCCCUCGGCUCAAGGGGGGACCUGCGUUCGAUACUGCGAGGCUUGAGUCCUGGAGAGGGUGGCGGAAUUCCGGGUGUAGGAGUGAAAUCCGUAGAUAUCCGGAGGAACACCGGUGGCGCAGGCGGCCACCUGGACAGGUACUGACGCUGAAGCGCGAAAGCGUGGGGAGCAAACAGGAUUAGAAACCCUUGUAGUCC
This 451-nucleotide ribosomal RNA is filed under the name uncultured bacterium. Its description in RNAcentral is "partial 16S ribosomal RNA". It matches the Rfam family "Bacterial small subunit ribosomal RNA", at positions 354 to 796 of the family's 1533-position model. The record is from RNAcentral.